Molecule: ribosomal RNA, 121 nt
Filed under: Phascolarctos cinereus (koala)
Lineage: Eukaryota; Metazoa; Chordata; Mammalia; Diprotodontia; Phascolarctidae
Source: RNAcentral
GUAUGGUCAUACCACUGUCAAAAAGCCCAAAUUUGUUUGCACUCACAAGGGAAGGAGAGUCAGGUCUAUUUAGUAUUUACUUGAAGGGGAUACCACCUGGGAAUCCUGGAGGCUAUAAGCU